RNAcentral lists this unclassified non-coding RNA (485 nucleotides) under Hevea brasiliensis (rubber tree). Lineage: Eukaryota; Viridiplantae; Streptophyta; Magnoliopsida; Malpighiales; Euphorbiaceae. The record is from RNAcentral.
GCUGCUUUUAUUAAGCCCAUCCAAACGGGCCCGUAGUAAUAUGACAGUUCCUAAAUAACCGAAACUUGGAGCUAAGCAUAUCAAUCCCAGAACUACAAGCAUAUCCAAAUCCACCCUUCUAAAUACAGUUUGCUUCAGAAUUUACCUAUGACUCAUGCUUAAGGUGCUCGUGUUUGUACUAAAUAAAAAUCCGUGUAACCUUAACUGGACACCCUCCCUUCCUGUUGGACCUAAACAGAAAAAGAUUGGAACCAUAUGUACUACAUGAGUCUUGGGAAGGAUACUACAGUGAGCGGAAAAAGAGCUUGAAUGCAGUGAGUAAAAUAGAUCGCAAGCAGUAAUAUUAGACUGUAGGGAAGACUUCUCUUCAGUAACGGAAGAAUCUCCACCAACGACCAAUUCACCUCCGAGAUGAUUCCCAUAGUUUUUGUUCAAUGGCCAAUUUCCUUAGCUCCAUCAGACCUUGCUCAACAUCAACAGCAUCA